CCGACCGGCGCCUAGGGCUUCCGCUGGUCAGCUGACCGCCCAGUGCGGAACUGCACCACCAGCCACCCUGCUCAGUGCCGCCCCGCCUGCUGGGUCCUCUCCACCAUGGCUGGGCUCAUGGUCAGUGGAACUCAAGUGUCCUACGUAGGCCAGUACUGCAGAGAAAUUCCAGAAUCCCUGGGCCGGGACUUUGGACAUUUUGCAAAGAGGCUUGACCUGAGCUUCAACCUCUUGAGGUAUGUAAACUUUGAGAGAUGCAAGCCAGGCCUGGGCUACCCAAUUCCCUCCAGGACCUUGGGGUAGCAGGUUCAAGUCACAGGUCCCAGCUCUUUACAGGGUCUCGAGAAAGAUGGGACCACACACCAGACCUUGUUGCAAAUGAUCUUGGAGAUCACGCCUGGUCUUCUAGUAAGCUGAUGUCUAAGAGCAUCUGAGCCUGGUUCACCUCACGACUGUGGGAGGGUCUUAUACUUUUGCUUUGUUCUUUAGGGGUGUUUAGCUUUGUUUCCUAAGAGUGACUGCCUCUCACAGAGUGUAGCAAAUCAAAGAUAGUGUGUGUGUAGGUUAUGUAUCAGCGGCAUGCUGUGAAGUGGUAAUGAGGCAUGGUGUAAACUCUCUCUCAAACGAUAGCGUUUUGCAGCUUUGAUGUUUUAAAUAUUCAUGAGGAUGCUCUCUCUCAAAGGAUUACUGUUGGUGUGAAGUGGUGGCAGUGGUGGGGAUGGUGUGAAGUGGAGAUGGGGGUGGUGUGAAGAGGUGAUGGGGCGGGAGGGGUGGUGUGAAGUGGCGGGGGGUGGUGUGAAGUGGUGAUGGGGGUGGUGUGAAGUUGUGAUGGGGCGGGAGGGGUGGUGUGAAGUGGCAGGGGGUGGUGUGAAGUGGU
RNAcentral lists this long non-coding RNA (877 nucleotides) under Rattus norvegicus (Norway rat). RNAcentral's name for it is "long non-coding RNA NONRATT032127". Lineage: Eukaryota; Metazoa; Chordata; Mammalia; Rodentia; Muridae. The record is from RNAcentral.